Molecule: ribosomal RNA, 491 nt
Filed under: uncultured bacterium
Lineage: Bacteria
Description: partial 16S ribosomal RNA
Rfam family: Bacterial small subunit ribosomal RNA
Source: RNAcentral
AGUGAACGCUGGCGGUAGGCCUAACACAUGCAAGUCGAACGGCAGCACAGUAAGAGCUUGCUCUUACGGGUGGCGAGUGGCGGACGGGUGAGGAAUACAUCGGAAUCUACUUUUUCGUGGGGGAUAACGUAGGGAAACUUACGCUAAUACCGCAUACGACCUACGGGUGAAAGCAGGGGAUCUUCGGACCUUGCGCGAUUGAAUGAGCCGAUGUCGGAUUAGCUAGUUGGCGGGGUAAAGGCCCACCAAGGCGAAGAUCCGUAGCUGGUCCGGGAGGAUGAUCAGCCACACUGGAACUGAGACACGGUCCAGACGCCUACGGGAGGCAGCAGUGGGGAAUAUUGGACAAUGGGCGCAAGCCUGAUCCAGCCAUACCGCGUGGGUGAAGAAGGCCUUCGGGUUGUAAAGCCCUUUUGUUGGGAAAGAAAAGCAGCAGGUUAAGACCCCGCUGUUCUGACGGGACCCAAAGAAGAAGCACCGGCUAACUUCGU